RNAcentral lists this ribosomal RNA (329 nucleotides) under uncultured eukaryote. Its description in RNAcentral is "partial 18S ribosomal RNA". It matches the Rfam family "Eukaryotic small subunit ribosomal RNA", at positions 1470 to 1796 of the family's 1831-position model. The record is from RNAcentral.
CCCUUAGAUGUCCUGGGCCGCACGCGCGCUACACUGAGUGUCUGAGAUACGAGUCUGCCUGGUCCGGCAAGGUCUAGGUAAUCGCUAAAAGACACAUCAUGCUUGGGAUAGAUUAUUGCAAAUAUUAAUCUUGAACGAGGAAUUCCUAGUAAGCGCAAGUCAACAGCUUGCGUUUAUUACGUCCCUGCCCUUUGUACGCACCGCCCGUCGCUACUACUGAUUGGAUGUUUAAGCGAGGUUCUCGAACUGCUAGCGACUUAGCUUCGGUGAGGUCGCAGUGUGGGAAGUGAACCUAGCUUUGGUGUCUAGAGGAAGUAAAAGUCGUAACA